This 327-nucleotide long non-coding RNA is filed under the name Helianthus annuus (common sunflower). RNAcentral describes it as "hypothetical non coding rna". The record is from RNAcentral. Lineage: Eukaryota; Viridiplantae; Streptophyta; Magnoliopsida; Asterales; Asteraceae.
GCAGCCGCGCAGCCGCUGCUGUUGCGUGUAGUGCAGCCGCUACUGCUGCGAUCGUGCAGCCACGCAGCCGCCGCUGUUGCGUGCGGCACUCCUACUGAGAAGCGCAUGCAGUGCAGCCGCGGGCGUGCAGCUGCGCGCUGCUGCUGCGGGCGUGCAACCGCCGCUUCUGCGUGCGACCUUGCUGCUGCAGCGUGCAUGCAGUGCGACGCUGCUGCUGAGGCGUGUGUGCAGUGCAGCCACGCAGCCGCUGCUGCGGGUGUGCAGUGUGGUGCUGCCGCUGAGGCGUGCGUGCGGUGUAGUCCCCGUUGCUGCAUGUGGCGCUGCUGC